RNAcentral lists this ribosomal RNA (2082 nucleotides) under Triticum aestivum (bread wheat). Its description in RNAcentral is "partial small subunit ribosomal RNA". Lineage: Eukaryota; Viridiplantae; Streptophyta; Magnoliopsida; Poales; Poaceae. The record is from RNAcentral.
AUGGAUUUAUAUUGGGAUUCGUUUUGGUAUUUUGGUAUUUCUUGGUUAGGAAAGCAUCGUCAUGAACAUAACCAGUUGCCUAUGAGACAAUGGCCGAAGAAACAAAUACAAAAAUCCACGUUAAUUCUAAUAGCUAUCAGUGUGCCCGUGCUAGGUAGCCUAGUGGCGGCCAUCGCUGUUGGACCAGUGCUUUGGGUGUUUCUGUCAACUCUUGUAAGAGAAGACUAUGGCAUCACGGACAGAGAGGCAACUAAAGCAAAUAUGAAGCGGGCGCUGAACUUAUUCUACUACGCAGCUUCUGCUCACGGCUUCCUAUGCACAUUGUGGGUGAUGACUCAAACGGUUGCUAAUAAUUUGCUCGUGAAUAUUGUUAGCGGACAACAUGGUUUCAGCCCCAAGGUACUCCGGGCAUAUAUACGCAAAACAAAACAGAUGUGUGUAAAUUACCACGUGUCCGCAACGAGCUGGAAUUUGAUUACAUAUGGUGCCGGCUUGCUGGAUUCCAGCUUACCAGAGGAAUAUGCGGCUGGAGGAAGGGUACUAACAAUGCUGAUUGAUCAGGAUGUACCGUCACAGACAAGACAGACAGCACGGCUGCUUAUCAGGUCACCAAGACAAAGAAUUCAGAAACUGGUCGGAACCCUUGCAUGGAGAAGCCCAGCCGAGCAAGAGAUGAGAUGGCUUGCGGCAAGGAUUGUGGAGCAUGUCGCUGCCGACCUCAACCUUGCUCAUUUUCCAGGAGCAUUGGAAUGUAUAUCCUCCCUCUUCAACCAAUUACCAGUUGUAGCUGGGCAAGGAAAUAUGGAUCUGAUUUUGCCAGGCUUGAGAAUUCUAGAGAACCUGGCUCAUGAUGAAGAUAACUGCACAGCGAUAUACAAUAACAAGGGCCUUUUCUCAAAAAUAGUUGCGCCUCUCAGCUCCAACGAAUGUGUACAAUAUAUCAAGAGCAGUGCUGCAUGGACUGAGGUAGUACACAGGUCACUGAGAGUGGUGAAGCAGCUCAUGAUAUCUCCAGGACUCACCGGCAAAGAGAUCAGAAGCCUAAUUACAGAUGAUAGUCAUGUGGUCAGAAACUUGGAGGCCGUACUGGAUAUUGAUAUGAAGAGUAAUAGCAGUAUCAUAGAGCUACAGAUGGGAACUUUAAAGGCUCUUACACAAUUAGCAUUGCAUCAUCCAACAAGUACUUCUGCAGAAAAACUUAUUGAGAGGGCACUGCACAUAUUCAUUUCCAUAGAUUGGAUGGAAGAUUAUUUGAAACAUGAGAAUGACAUGAUGGAAGAAGCUAAGAAAACUGCAAACCGGCUAAAAGAAAGUGCUGGUUUGGCAUUGGAAAUGCUGUCCAGUGAUCCAGAGGCGGUCAAGGGCUUCACAGUGUGCGAAGAUGAUGUCCAUCAUCUUACUGAAUUGCUCGACUGCAAUGUCAAUACCAUCGAGUGCAAAAUAAGUGCAACAGAUACUGUGGAAAUAGAGAUCAGCAUGGACUGUCGUAUUAGUGCAACAGUCAUCUUGAAGCAUUUGAGCAACUAUGUGAAGGCGCCAACCUUACGGAAGGCACUCGGGCAAUUGCUUCCUGUACAACAAGACGCACCUUCCACAUCACGGAGCCACAUCAACAACAGGACGCUGCAAGCAACACUAUUAUCACUCGUCGUGACGAUUUGUGUGAACAACAAUAUUAAUCUUGCAGGAAUCUUACUUUCGCAAACGCCGCCAGAUACCCUGGAAGACUUUGUGGUGAGGCUCAAGAAUAUGGUGGAGGACAACAUGUACGGCACCCAUAUGUGUUUGGCGAUACAGAAGCUUACCUGCAAGAUGGUUACAGAAUUCAUGAAGCAUGAUCGAAACGUCGAAGUGAUCGACAGGCACAAUAUCGUUGGCACGUUAUUGGAGGCUUCAAAGACGAUGGCCGAGCUUGAGAGCAGCAUGCUUUUUGCGGGCAUCAAUCAUCAUGAUCGUUGCGGGGUUCCUCUCACGCCUUUCUCUUCUGUUCUCGCUAAAAAUGCAGAAGAUCUUCUGACACAGAGGAAACAGGCUCUGGGCAUCAACACUGUGCCUGCUGGUUUGCCAGUACCACUACCAUGA